This is a long non-coding RNA of Phyllostomus discolor (pale spear-nosed bat), 153 nucleotides long. RefSeq lists it as uncharacterized. Lineage: Eukaryota; Metazoa; Chordata; Mammalia; Chiroptera; Phyllostomidae. The record is from RefSeq and is a predicted model, not a curated record. The transcript is spliced from 3 exons.
AAGAGCCACUGGCAAGCUGUGGCUACUCAGCACUUGAACCAUGGCUAAUGCCACUGGUUCAAAUGAUAAUAGGUUGGAUAUAUUAGGUAAAAUUUUAAAUGUCUGAAACAUUUUUAGCCCUGGCCCAGGUAGCUCAGUUGGUUGGGUAUCAUC